GUCAGGCACUGUGAAACGUGCUCCACUUCAUUCAGACCUUGCAACCACCCUAUGGAAGGUGAUGUCAGUAUCCUGUUUCACAGAUGAGAAAACUGAGCUUCUGACCAGAUCUGCAGAUGGAAAAGCUCGCUUCUAGGCAUGCGAAUCGUCUUUUAGUAUGGGAUCAUAGACUCUUACAGCUGGAAGCCUUAGAAGCUCACUCCAUCACCUCCCCAAUGCAGGAAUCCCACCCAAAAUCUCCCUGAGUGUUCCGUUGCACAAACACCUCCAAUGAUGGCUACAUACUGACUUCUCAAGGAAUGUUCUUUCCACUGUUAAAAAAGAAAAAAAAAAAAACUGUCAAUGGAGGAAGUUAUCCUUCCAUUGAACUGAAGGUCAUCUCUUAGUAGCUUCCUCCUAUUGUUUUUAUUUUAUUCAUUAAAAAAAAGUUCAUUUCAACAUGCAACAUUUGGUGAUCCACUGGCCAUGUAGUAGACACUGUGGAGGACCCAAGGGAAACAGCCAUUGCCAUUGCCAUUGAAGAGCUUCUAAUGUGGCUAAAGAUAUAACAUGAAAGCUCCUAAAGACCUGCACAGCCAACGAAAAAAAUAAGAGUUAUCAGAAAACUGAGCCCUGUAGGAGCCGCACAGGAGGUACGAAAGUAAGUGCCAGAGGGACUCAACAGAGGAAGAGAAUCCAGUGUGGACUGAGUGGUCAGGAAGACCUGCCAGAGGGGGACUUUUGGGGGAUCCUUAACAGAAGAGUAUCAUUUGACCAGGUAGGGGAAAGGAGAUCAUCCAGGCCUGGGGAAACAGUAGGAGCAACGUUCAGCGACAAGACAGCACAGAGGCAGUACAGAAUUUCAGUACUUCAGUACAGUACUUCAGAAUGACUGUGUGAGGCUAAGGAUCGGACCCAAAUUUCUCUCCGGAUUUAUG
Long non-coding RNA from Leopardus geoffroyi (Geoffroy's cat), 917 nucleotides. RefSeq lists it as uncharacterized. NCBI's taxonomy places the organism in Eukaryota, Metazoa, Chordata, Mammalia, Carnivora, Felidae. The transcript is spliced from 3 exons. The record is from RefSeq and is a predicted model, not a curated record.